This 730-nucleotide ribosomal RNA is filed under the name Rhizoctonia solani. RNAcentral's name for it is "eukaryotic LSU rRNA". The stretch from base 282 to 435 matches the Rfam family "5.8S ribosomal RNA". The record is from RNAcentral. Lineage: Eukaryota; Fungi; Basidiomycota; Agaricomycetes; Cantharellales; Ceratobasidiaceae.
GGAAGUAAAAGUCGUAACAAGGUUUCCGUAGGUGAACCUGCGGAAGGAUCAUUAUUGAAUUUUAAUGAAGAGUUUGGUUGUAGCUGGCCUAUUAAUUUGGGCAUGUGCACACCUUUCUCUUUCAUCCACACACACCUGUGAACCUGUGAGACAGAUGGGGAAUUUAUUUGUUGUUUUUUUGUAAAAGAAAGACAAUAGAUCAUUGGACCCUCUGUCUACUCAAUUUAUAUAAACUCAAUUUAUUUUAAAAUGAAUGUAAUGGAUGUAACACAUCUAAUACUAAGUUUCAACAACGGAUCUCUUGGCUCUCGCAUCGAUGAAGAACGCAGCGAAAUGCGAUAAGUAAUGUGAAUUGCAGAAUUCAGUGAAUCAUCGAAUCUUUGAACGCACCUUGCGCUCCUUGGUAUUCCUUGGAGCAUGCCUGUUUGAGUAUCAUGAAAUCUUCAAAGUCAAUUCUUUUGUUUGUUCAAUUGGGUUGACUUUGGUAUUGGAGGUUUUGCAGGUUCACACUUGCUCCUCUUUGUGCAUUAGCUGGAUCUCAGUGUUAUGCUUGGUUCCACUCGGCGUGAUAAAUUAUCUAUCGCUGAGGACACUUUUGUAAAAAGGUGGCCAAGGUAAAUGCAGAUGAACUGCUUCUAAUAGUCCAUUCACUUGGACAAUAUUUUUAUGAUCAGAUCUCAAAUCAGGUAGGACUACCCGCUGAACUUAAGCAUAUCAAUAAGCGGAGGAA